RNAcentral lists this long non-coding RNA (2131 nucleotides) under Parus major (Great Tit). RNAcentral describes it as "lncRNA (ENSPMJG00000018025.1)". Lineage: Eukaryota; Metazoa; Chordata; Aves; Passeriformes; Paridae. The record is from RNAcentral.
AUGCAGCCCAAGUUGGACUGGCUUUCUGGCCUGAGGAGCGCACACUUGCCGGCUCAUGUUGGAUGUUUCAUCAAUCAUCACUCCCAAGUCUUUCAGCUCACUCUUCAGCUCUUCAGGCACUGGACUAACUCGGGGAGGGGUCGGCGCAACGACCCCUCGGGCAGGGCAGGGCCUGGCAGCCGAGAUGGCGGCGGGCCGGCCGGCCUCCCCGGCCGAGCAGCUCAUGUGGGCGGCCAGGCUCCGCCAGAGGCCGAGGCCAAGCCCCCGCACCACCGGGCCCUGCCGGCGCGGGCAGCCGCAGCCCCGCUUCCCCCGCCCGCCGUGAGCCGGGGCGGAGCGACAGCGAGGGGCGGCGCCUCCGCGAUCCCCGGGCCGCGCCGGGGGGAGGCGGCGGCGGCGACGGAUCCGGGCCCGGCGGAGGCGGAAGGGGCGGGCGGACGUGGCCCUGACUCUGCGGGACGCGCGAUGCUGCUGGUCUUUUUAGGGUCCAGAAAAAAAGGCAGAAGAGAACUUCAGAUAAUUGGGUGGAGCUCACAGAGGGUAUAACAGAAUACUUAAUCUUCAAAACUGUGAAGCCUGGAGUAGAACAUAGAAUAGCCUAGAAGUAUGACUUAACGGUAGGUCCUGAAGGAAUGUUUUUUAUUUUCUGCUGCUCAGAGAUCAAGAACAAAUAAUAGGAUUUCCUUGGUUUCAGCCUGUACUAUUCUCGAAAUUACAGAAGGGUUCAUAUGAGCCUUGUAUGACAGAUUUAUCAUAACGCUGUAUUGUCUGUAGAAAACUAGAAAGCCAUAUUGUUUCACUGUGGUUUGAGUAUUCCAGUCAAUGAAUGGAUUCAUUGACUGGAAUGACAGAGUGGUUUGGGCUGGAAAGGAUUGUCUAGUCUAGUCUCUUUGUCUUGGCCAGGGACACCUUCCAUUAGAUGAGGUUGCUCAAAGCUUCUUUCAGCAUGGCUUUAAACAUGGCCUGCAUCAGGCACCUGCAACUUCUCUGGGCAGCCUGUUCCAUUGUCUCACCACCACUCUCACAGUAAAGAAUUUUCUCCUUAUAUCCACUCUGAAUCUCCCUCUUUUAAUUUAAAACCAUUGACCCUUCUCCUAAAUUAAGCUGCUAGUAAAAAGUCUUCAUCUCUCUUACAAGCUUCCUAAAUGAAUGGAAAGACUUCAGUAAGAUGAAGUUGGUCCUGACUUGGUACAACUCUCUUACUUGUGGGCUAAUUUUUUACAUUGUCAUUUUCUGAUAUGUUCUUAAUUUUAUUGCUUUGGAGGAUAAGGCAUGUUAAAAUUGCAAACAUGUUUUUAUGGACUUGUGUAAAAAUGGAUCUUCUCUGCCUGAUGUUUUCAAUGGGCCUUUCCAGGUGAAUGUGUUCCUUCUUCAUAAUAUCAGGAGGCUGAUGAAUUGGUAGUCAUCUCUUCACUGUGUCCUGAACUUUGUGCACUUAAAACUCAUGGGACUAGUGUAUUUUCUUACUUUCUUAUUGUUUCAUUCACAAUUCAUUCAGUAUUUAUCCUCUGUACUCCUAUUAGUAGUUCUUUCUACCCACCAUUACUGACUGUAUGUUCUCUUGCUGGUAAAAUGACAUUGAGAGAAGUGGUGUCCUACUUAGCAAAGAAAUUAAUGUAAGCUUAUGCUUGCCAGAUAUAAGCAUUCUCUGCUACCAAAAUGCCUUAGCCUUUCAGGUAAUCUGUAAUAGAAUCUCAAGUCUGGAAGAGUUAUUGAUAACUGAAGAAAAAGUUACUUGUAGUAUCUUCUGGUUAAUCUUUGAUACCCAUAAGGGUGUUUAUUAAAUGAUGAGCUACCACAGAACCCAGAGUUGCUCAGAAGUACUGGACUUUCACUGUUGAAUAGGAAGGAACUAUUUACACUUGCUGGUAGGUAGUGUCUGUUGCUUGGAAAGCUUUUCACCAUUAUGGUUUGUUGUUAGCAUUAGGGUUUUGUUGUCAGCUGCGCUGAUCGAAGUACCUACAGCCUUUGGGUAAUUCUGGGUAUUGUCUCAUUUUGCAGUGAAUUGCAAAACCAAGGAAUUGGUAUUUCACAUCUUAAGAUGGAUUUCUCAUCUGUGUAAAUGACAGUAUUUCAAUGAAAUAUAAAUAAUAAUAAUAAAUUUUGAAUCUUUAGUGUGGAUAGAUUUGGA